UCUGGCCUGGCUGAUGAUCUCA
This 22-nucleotide microRNA is filed under the name Bos taurus (domestic cattle). RNAcentral describes it as "bta-miR-2439-5p". Lineage: Eukaryota; Metazoa; Chordata; Mammalia; Artiodactyla; Bovidae. The record is from miRBase by way of RNAcentral.